Molecule: ribosomal RNA, 253 nt
Filed under: uncultured bacterium
Lineage: Bacteria
Description: partial 16S ribosomal RNA
Rfam family: Bacterial small subunit ribosomal RNA
Source: RNAcentral
UACGGAGGGUGCGAGCGUUGCUCGGAAUUACUGGGCGUAAAGCGCGUGUAGGCGGCCUUUUAAGUUCGGUGUGAAAGCCCGGGGCUCACCCCCGGAAGUGCAUCGAAUACUGGGAGGCUAGAGUACCGGAGAGGAGGGUGGAAUUCCUGGUGUAGCGGUGAAAUGCGUAGAGAUCAGGAGGAACACCGGUGGCGAAGGCGGCCCUCUGGACGGAUACUGACGCUGAGACGCGAAAGAGUGGGGAGCAAACAGG